RNAcentral lists this ribosomal RNA (301 nucleotides) under uncultured bacterium. RNAcentral describes it as "partial 16S ribosomal RNA". It matches the Rfam family "Bacterial small subunit ribosomal RNA", at positions 509 to 809 of the family's 1533-position model. The record is from RNAcentral.
CAGUCGCCGCGGGAAAACCGAGGGUGCAAGCGUUAAUCGGAUUUACUGGGCGUAAAGGGCGCGUAGGUGGUUAUUUAAGUGAGAUGUGAAAGCCCCGGGCUUAACCUGGGAACUGCAUCUUAUACUGGGUAACUGGAGUGCAGUAGAGGGUAGUGGAAUUUCCGGUGUAGCGGUGAAAUGCGUAGAUAUCGGAAGGAACACCAGUGGCGAAGGCGGCUACCUGGACUGAGACUGACACUGAGGCGCGAGAGCGUGGGGAGCAAACAGGAUUAGAGACCCCAGUAGUCCCUGUCUCUUAUAA